CCUAAGGUGUGGGCGUGGCCUCCGUACAUGAUUCUCCUUAAAAAGUUGGCGUUGUUAUGCAAAAAUGUACCUCUUCUCUGGAGGGUGUUGGUGCUGGCCAAAGAAUGGCUGCAGCAGUCUCAUUAUUCGAAUGGUGAAUCUGGACAGAUUCUGAUGCUUUCCAAUUAGCCUCAGGAAGUUGGGGAAUUCCUUAUACUCCAUUAUUACGUGGAUGUAUGCUAUAGAAG
Molecule: long non-coding RNA, 227 nt
Organism: Eubalaena glacialis (North Atlantic right whale)
Lineage: Eukaryota; Metazoa; Chordata; Mammalia; Artiodactyla; Balaenidae
Exons: 3
Source: RefSeq, a predicted model, not a curated record